UUUUUUUUCACAUUUAAAAAAAUUCAGGGAUGACUUGAAAAAGUAGCAGGCAGUUUUUCAACAUUACAAAUCUAACGGUCAGGACGGACUACAGUGAGAUCCGAACCCACAACCAAGCGGGAAUGUCUAACAAGAAGGUCAGCCUAGGCUAGGUACUUCAAAUUAUAACUUAAACCUCUUUAAUGAAAAAUUAUAAAAACCAAAUCGAUUAAAAAUUCAGAAUGUCAAAUUGAAUACUUCAAAGUAGCUUUCACAAAAGCGAAUAUUUCUGAAUUGUAAAAAUUUUACUUGAUAAAAACGAUGCUUGGGAAAAAAUGCGCGAAUGUUUUUCAAAAUGUAUUGAAGCCCGCCAUCUUGCCGAAGCGCAACUUCGCGCAAGUGGGAUUGGUGGUCUCCACGCCUCCCAGAGUACCGUGCUCUCUUGGGGAAAAAUGUCUUCACGCUGGUUUUAUGCUGUUUGUAUGGCUAUCUCCUAUGGCCUAUUUUACUACCCAGCUGAAAGUGUGGCGUAGGGAAUAUAUUGGAAAAUAAAUGUUUAAUUCAUGAAA
This is a long non-coding RNA of Ostrinia nubilalis (European corn borer), 548 nucleotides long. RefSeq lists it as uncharacterized. The record is from RefSeq and is a predicted model, not a curated record. NCBI's taxonomy places the organism in Eukaryota, Metazoa, Arthropoda, Insecta, Lepidoptera, Crambidae. The transcript is spliced from 2 exons.